UGCGUAGGCUGCGCUAUAAGUCGGGUGUGAAAUCCCUCAGCUCAACUGAGGAACUGCGCCCGAUACUGUAGUGCUUGAGGAGGAUAGAGGUGAGCGGAACUAGCAGUGGAGCGGUGAAAUGCGUUGAUAUUGCUGGGAACACCCGUGGCGAAAGCGGCUCACUGGGUCCUUUCUGAGCUGAGGCACGAAAGCUAGGGGAGCGAACG
RNAcentral lists this ribosomal RNA (206 nucleotides) under uncultured bacterium. Its description in RNAcentral is "partial 16S ribosomal RNA". It matches the Rfam family "Bacterial small subunit ribosomal RNA", at positions 568 to 774 of the family's 1533-position model. The record is from RNAcentral.